AACAGUUGACAGUGUCGAGAAUGAUAGUAUAAAUAUCAUUCUCGACAUUUAUAAAUGUCGUGAACGAUAUUUAUACUAUCAUUAUCGACAUUUAUA
Molecule: microRNA precursor, 96 nt
Filed under: Olea europaea subsp. europaea
Lineage: Eukaryota; Viridiplantae; Streptophyta; Magnoliopsida; Lamiales; Oleaceae
Source: RNAcentral